RNAcentral lists this ribosomal RNA (584 nucleotides) under uncultured bacterium. Its description in RNAcentral is "bacterial SSU rRNA". It matches the Rfam family "Bacterial small subunit ribosomal RNA", at positions 338 to 916 of the family's 1533-position model. The record is from RNAcentral.
CCUACGGGAGGCAGCAGUGGGGAAUUUUGGACAAUGGGCGCAAGCCUGAUCCAGCCAUGCCGCGUGCGGGAAGAAGGCCUUCGGGUUGUAAACCGCUUUUGUCAGGGAAGAAAUCCUUUGGGCUAAUACCUCGGAGGGAUGACGGUACCUGAAGAAUAAGCACCGGCUAACUACGUGCCAGCAGCCGCGGUAAUACGUAGGGUGCGAGCGUUAAUCGGAAUUACUGGGCGUAAAGCGUGCGCAGGCGGUUAUGCAAGACAGAUGUGAAAUCCCCGGGCUUAACCUGGGAACUGCAUUUGUGACUGCAUAGCUCGAGUACGGCAGAGGGGGAUGGAAUUCCGCGUGUAGCAGUGAAAUGCGUAGAUAUGCGGAGGAACUCCGAUGGCGAAGGCAAUCCCCUGGGCCUGUACUGACGCUCAUGCACGAAAGCGUGGGGAGCAAACAGGAUUAGAUACCCUGGUAGUCCACGCCCUAAACGAUGUCAACUGGUUGUUGGACGGCUUGCUGUUCAGUAACGAAGCUAACGCGUGAAGUUGACCGCCUGGGGAGUCGGCCGCAAGGUUGAAACUCAAAGGAAUUGACGG